GAGACUCUGUGCGCGUGCAUAUCAAUAAGCGGAGGAAAAGAAACUAACUAGGAUUCCCUUAGUAACGGCGAGUGAAGCGGGAAGAGCUCAAAUUUGAAAUCUUCAAGGUUCUACCUUGACGAAUUGUAGUUUAUAGAAGUGUUUUCUGUUAGUAGAGUGGCAAAAGUUCUUUGGAAUAGGACAUCAUAGAGGGUGAGAAUCCCGUAUUUGAUCAUUCUUUCUAAGCUUUGUGAUACACUUUCAACGAGUCGGAUUGUUUGGGAAUGCAGUCCAAAAUGGGUGGUAAAUUUCAUCUAAAGCUAAAUAUUGGCGAGAGACCGAUAGCGAACAAGUACCGUGAGGGAAAGAUGAAAAGAACUUUGAAAAGAGAGUUAAACAGUACGUGAAAUUGUCAAAAGGGAAGCGUUUGACACCAGUGUUGUUUUUCCGAAAAUCAAUUACGAAUGUUUUGUUUUUAAGAAGUUAUGACUUCAUCGGCUUGCUUCUUUCUUUACGAAACUUUCUUAAUGCACUUUUCGGUUAACAAGUCAACAUCAAUUUCUUUUGUUGUAAAAGGGUACGAGGAAGGUGGCUUUCUUUUCGGAGAAAGUGUUUAUAGCCUUGUACCUCUGCAAUCGGAGAGAUUGAGGUCUGCAGCGUAGAUCCUUCGGGGUUAGAUACAUUUGUGCUAAGUUAUAGCCUUUCAUAGACAACUUGUUGACUAAGUUAAGUCUUGUAGCUUACUCGCUUAUGCUAUUUUACCUACGCUUAGGAUGUUGAAGAUGUAGCACAUCAU
This 775-nucleotide ribosomal RNA is filed under the name uncultured Neocallimastigales. RNAcentral's name for it is "partial large subunit ribosomal RNA". It matches the Rfam family "Eukaryotic large subunit ribosomal RNA", at positions 23 to 643 of the family's 3401-position model. The record is from RNAcentral. Lineage: Eukaryota; Fungi; Neocallimastigomycota; Neocallimastigomycetes; Neocallimastigales.